GUAUAAGGUGAUAAUGGAGUGUUCUAACACUGUGUAUAAGGUGAUAAUGGAGUGUUCUAACACUGUGUAUAAGGUGAUAAUGGAGUGUUCUAACACUGUGUAUAACACUGUGUAUAAGGUGAUAAUGGAGUGUUCUAACACUGUGUAUAAGGUGAUAAUGG
Oncorhynchus gorbuscha (pink salmon) is the source of this 161-nucleotide long non-coding RNA. RefSeq lists it as uncharacterized. The record is from RefSeq and is a predicted model, not a curated record. Lineage: Eukaryota; Metazoa; Chordata; Actinopteri; Salmoniformes; Salmonidae. The transcript has 3 exons.